CGUGAUAAUGGCUGAACUCUCGCAGGAAUUAGUCCCAUGUUUCCCUAGAUCUGUGAGUAAUCCACCUCCCAAUACAGGCCCCCGUCCCUCUGCCAGAGACAAUGCACAGCUCCUGAGAUCCGUCUCUUAAGCAAGCAGCUCCGCCAGGCCUCCUGGUGCAUUUCAGUGCUGGGCUUGGGCACCUCUCCAGCCCUGGAGAGAUUUUACCAGAGAGCUACCGCACCUGCGGUGAUUGGGGCGAGUGCACUGUGCUCUCCCCAGCAUUGGCAGCCUGCACCACUCUGAAUCAUAACGGGAAGGAUGGAAAGGCCUUGCGUCAGCAGCGAGGGGUAGAGGGGCCUGCCUGCUCCUGCCCAGCUGGAAAUGGAGGAGAGCCUGUCUCAACACGUUACCCCAAAAUACUCUUCCCAGUGCCUUACAGGGAGCACUGAGUAUGAUCCAAUUGCUGCAGCUUGGCGGACCCAUCCGAUGAAGAACUGCACCUUCAGAUGUCCCCAGCCCUUUGCCAGGUUCCCAGCCAGGCUGGGCGACCGGAGCAAUGUUGGUCCUAGGACAAGCUCUGCAGCGUCCAGCGUUUGUUUCGUUUGGAGAUUUAACUGAAAGCGUCAUGUUGAUCAGAGUCAAGAGCAGUUCUAGGGCUGGAACUGACCACAUCCCCCCUCACCCACAUCCCUUCCCACUGGUCCAUCCGUCUGUCUGCAGGCCGGAGAUUCCUUACAUAAUAGCUAAUCUGUAGAGGCAGGAGUGGCAGGGGGAUCUGGGCUCCAUCUGUGCAUUGCACGAAUCUUAACUUGCCUGGGUGAUUGCAAAGAGCCUGGACAGCAGCAGCUGCUUGCAGCUAAUCUCUCGUGAGAUGGUUUGUGAUGAGGCUCUUGUGCUUGGAACAACCCCAGUCUGUCUGAUUACAGCGAGGCUCCCGAAAUCACAUUUUCAUUUGCUGUCAUUCUGCCUCAUAAUCCUCCCAUCAGACCCAGGAAGGUGCAAGCUGGUUUGCAUGAGGAAUCUGUGACGAAAGGGAAAGUUUUUAACUGGGAAGCAAAUGAGUUUUUGCACUACCACAAUGGGGAUCUUCCACCUCCCAAAAUCGGGGGGUUACUUGGCAUUUAACAGUGAUAUGGGAGCCUCCAGCUGCGCUUAGCCUAGGGCAGCUGGUGGCCCCCUGCUCCGACAGGCUGCAUGUUGAGCAAGGGCCCAUGUGGAUCCCGAGUGGGAAAAGCAGAGACAAGUUCUGGGGCAUGAUCAGCUUUGUGCUGCACAAAGCAACAGUUUGGAAGGAACCCGCUGUGUGUUGUUCACAUUUUAUAUUCACGCUGCUGACUGUAAAACUGUGUAAAAUCCCCACCAUUUUCUCAAUUUAUACACACAUACACACACUAAAUCGGUUCUUUGUAUUACACAGUUUACAAACAAACACAAUUUGUUUAUAAAAAUCAACAUAAAACAUAAGAACAUAAGAACGGCCAUACUGGCUCAGACCAAAGGUCCAUCCAGCCCAGUAUCCUGUCUGCCGACAGUGGCCAAUGCCAGGUGCCCCAGAGAGAGUUAACUUAACAGGUAAUGAUCCAGUGAUCUCUCUCCUGCCAUCCAUCUCCACCCUCUGACAAACAGAAGCUAGGGACACCAUUCUUUACCCGUCCUGGCUAAUAGCCAUUAAUAGACUUAACCUCCAUGAAUUUAUCCAGUUCUCUUUUAAACCCUUUUAUAGUCCUAGCCUUCACAAGCUCCUCAGGCAAGGAGUUCCACAGGCUGACUGUGUCCUGAGUGAAGAAGAAUGUCCUUUUAUUUGUUUUAAACUUGCUACCCAUUAAUUUCAUUUGGUGGCUCUCAGUUCUUAUAUUAUGGGAACAAGUAAAUAACUUUUCCUUAUUCACUUUCUCCACACCACUCAUGAUUUUAUAUACCUCUAUCAUAUUCCCCCUUCGUCUCCUCUUUUCCAAGAUGAAAAAUCCUGGCCUCUUUAAUCUCUCCUCAUAUGGGACCCGUUCCAAACCCCUAAUCAUUUUAGUUGCCCUUUUCUGAACCUUUUCUAACCUUAACUAAAUCCAAUUAGUUUUACAUCUUAUUCUGCCUUAUCCUUAUUUUAUGUAUGGAGAAAUUAAAGAAAAAAUAUUAACAUAGAAUAAAGAACAGAAGCAAAUUUCAGAGGAGGGAGAAAGAGUAGAGGGUGAAGCAAGCCCCCUCCCCCCCCCCCAAUUAUUUAACAGGAGCAUUCAGGUAUAUCCGGGAAAGCACCCUAUAUCUCUGAGAAGUUUUCUGGGUAUCUCUGUGACAGUAUACAGUUCUUUCUAUGGUGGCCAAGCUUAUGCUGGCUAUGUUCCUCUCUUGAAUUGUUGGGUGCUUGUUGGAUUUCCAUGUUUGUAGCACUAGGCCUUUCAGCAAUUUUUAGUGCUUUGCUGAGCCAACGUUUCCGGAAUUUAUUUAUCUUCCAAUUAACAUAGUUUAGGUUUAAAAUGACAUGUUUAGCUUGUAACACACUAUUAGUAAAAUCACCCGCAUUAGCUCCUCCUGCCCCCAUCCCCAUGAAAUACCAAAAAAUAAACCACUAACAAUUCCCACUGCCAAGCAACCGUCCAGCCCCUGCGCUGCUAUGAGCAUGAUCCUGCCUUUUAGCAUGCUCCCAAGGAAGGAGCCUCGCCUGGAAUUUUCACUGCCCCCCACUCCAGCCUGGAACAACCCUCGUUUAUUGACCUUCAAUGCAGGCUGAAGAACUCUCUCUUUGGGGUGGGCUGAGGUGUGGGAUAUGGUGCUGUCAAUCUGCAUUUGCUGAUGAGGUGGCAUCUAUGCCUAUGGACUGCAUUGUUAAUUGAUGGCAGGCGUCUAGAGCUUGGGAGAGGUGUUGUUGCUGUUUUAAAU
Molecule: long non-coding RNA, 2853 nt
Organism: Caretta caretta (loggerhead turtle)
Lineage: Eukaryota; Metazoa; Chordata; Testudines; Cheloniidae
Source: RefSeq, a predicted model, not a curated record